UACGUAGGUGGCGAGCGUUGUCCGGAUUUACUGGGCGUAAAGGGAGCGUAGGCGGACUUUUAAGUGAGAUGUGAAAUACUCGGGCUCAACUUGAGUGCUGCAUUUCAAACUGGAAGUCUAGAGUGCAGGAGAGGAGAAUGGAAUUCCUAGUGUAGCGGUGAAAUGCGUAGAGAUUAGGAAGAAUACCAGUGGCGAAGGCGAUUCUCUGGACUGUAACUGACGCUGAGGCUCGAAAGCGUGGGGAGCAAACAGG
Molecule: ribosomal RNA, 253 nt
Filed under: uncultured bacterium
Lineage: Bacteria
Description: partial 16S ribosomal RNA
Rfam family: Bacterial small subunit ribosomal RNA
Source: RNAcentral